UACAGAGGGUGCAAGCGUUGUUCGGAAUUAUUGGGCGUAAAGCGCGUGUAGGCGGGAUGACAAGUCGGGUGUGAAAGCCCUCAGCUCAACUGAGGAAGUGCGCCCGAAACUAUCGUUCUUGAGUACCGGAGAGGGUGGCGGAAUUCCCGGUGUAGAGGUGAAAUUCGUAGAUAUCGGGAGGAACACCAGUGGCGAAGGCGGCCACCUGGACGUGUACUGACGCUGAGACGCGAAAGCGUGGGGAGCAAAC
RNAcentral lists this ribosomal RNA (250 nucleotides) under uncultured bacterium. RNAcentral's name for it is "partial 16S ribosomal RNA". It matches the Rfam family "Bacterial small subunit ribosomal RNA", at positions 524 to 773 of the family's 1533-position model. The record is from RNAcentral.